This 873-nucleotide unclassified non-coding RNA is filed under the name Haliotis rubra (blacklip abalone). Its description in RNAcentral is "uncharacterized LOC124282077, transcript variant X3". The record is from RNAcentral. Lineage: Eukaryota; Metazoa; Mollusca; Gastropoda; Lepetellida; Haliotidae.
GCAUGUGUUUUUGUUACCUGCAAUGUAUCUUAUGUAUAAGGAAUCACAUGGGUGAUUAAUAUAUUUCCAUUUGUUGGUUAAUAGCGAUGAUGUGUUGCAUGUAGGUCUAUAUUUGUAUUUCACGUAAAACGUAUGUUUUGAUUUUAACCAAUGGCAUUCAACUAACUAAAUGUAUUUUUGACAAUGAAGUGGCAGUCUAAAUGGCAUUUCUACCCAAGAACAGAUACAGUACAGGAGGCAACACAGGAGCAAGGAAACUGAGAGUCACAGCGAGGUACACACCAGGCUCUUGCUCACCAGUUUGUGUCCUUUUGUGCAAUUCUUGGGCCAACUCUUUCAAGGAGUUCGUCGAGGGCCAACUCUUUCAAGGAGUUCGUCGAAAAGAGCUGGCUCCAUUCUAAGACAGAACAACAGCAUCUAAGAACAUGGCCAAGCCUCUCAUCAUCACCAUUGGCAUCCUCCUGAUUCUGAUGGGAACUGGUACAGAAGCGUGUUCGUGUGUGGGUUGCUCGCCGAGUCCACCAAUUUUCUGCGUCAUUAUGUGGACCGUAGUGAUAGGCCUGCCGCUCCUGCUGCUCCUGGUAGGAAUAGCUGUCUACUGUUGUCGUCGUCGUCGUCGUAAACGCAAUUGCAAAGCACUUGAUCAUGCUGAACUCCAUCCUUCACACAAAGAUGGAAACGAGAACUACAUGUAAAUGGAAGUGGGCCAAAAUCUUAAAGACAGAAGAAGGCGACUAUUAAAUGCUGCACACCUGGCUUGCAAAUUGCAUGUCGGGAGACAAAAUACGACAAAUCUACCAAGGCACCAGAAAUUGUCCAACAUUAGUUAUUUGUCAGUGUAACUUCUUGUAAAACAAUGUUGUUUUUCAUUUA